This 72-nucleotide transfer RNA is filed under the name Marmota marmota marmota (Alpine marmot). It matches the Rfam family "tRNA". From Rfam's summary of the family: Transfer RNA (tRNA) molecules are approximately 80 nucleotides in length. Their secondary structure includes four short double-helical elements and three loops (D, anti-codon, and T loops). Lineage: Eukaryota; Metazoa; Chordata; Mammalia; Rodentia; Sciuridae. RNAcentral also lists the same sequence under 1 other name. The record is from Rfam by way of RNAcentral.
UUUGGUGUGGAUCAGUGGUAGAACAAUUGCCUGGCAUGUAUAGAACCCUGGGUUUCAUCCCCAGCACCACAA